Molecule: ribosomal RNA, 468 nt
Filed under: uncultured bacterium
Lineage: Bacteria
Description: partial 16S ribosomal RNA
Rfam family: Bacterial small subunit ribosomal RNA
Source: RNAcentral
GACGAACGCUGGCGGCGUGCUUAACACAUGCAAGUCGAACGGAAAGGCUCUGCUUUUGUGGGGUGCUCGAGUGGCGAACGGGUGAGUAACACGUGAGUAACCUGCCCUUGACUUUGGGAUAACUUCAGGAAACUGGGGCUAAUACCGGAUAGGAGCUCCUGCUGCAUGGUGGGGGUUGGAAAGUUUCGGCGGUUGGGGAUGGACUCGCGGCUUAUCAGCUUGUUGGUGGGGUAGUGGCUUACCAAGGCUUCGACGGGUAGCCGGCCUGAGAAGGUGACCGGCCACAUUGGGACUGAGAUACGGCCCAGACUCCUACGGGAGGCAGCAGUGGGGAAUAUUGCACACUGGGCGGAAGCCUGAUGCAGAAACGCCGCGUGCGGGAUGAAGGCCUUCGGGUUGUGAACCGCUUUCGCCUGUGACGAAGCGUGAGUGACGGUAAUGGGUAAAGAAGCACCGGCUAACUACGUG